AGCAAUCACUAACGUUAGCUUGCUAUUCAUUGGAGUGGCUGUGUGUUUUUUUCUCAGAGUUCCCACCAUAAAUCCAGAGAAUACCAGACCUUGAUGACAAAAUUUGCCCACAAUGGACCACCGACCCACCUUCACAAGAGUUGUCAGGUACCUCAGCUUGGUUGAUGGCUCCAUCUCCUGCUUGGCUCACAGUAGGGCAGAUGCACAUGUGGAUGGAUGAAGGGCCGGGGACCACUGCACUGACUGACAGGCAGAAUAAGGGCUUUCAGUGAGGGCUUAAUGAUUCAAACUGUGAUCAAUAACAUCAGAG
Oncorhynchus gorbuscha (pink salmon) is the source of this 310-nucleotide long non-coding RNA. RefSeq lists it as uncharacterized. Lineage: Eukaryota; Metazoa; Chordata; Actinopteri; Salmoniformes; Salmonidae. The record is from RefSeq and is a predicted model, not a curated record. The transcript is spliced from 3 exons.